This 849-nucleotide ribosomal RNA is filed under the name Aschersonia sp. JZQ-2014a. RNAcentral's name for it is "eukaryotic LSU rRNA". It matches the Rfam family "Eukaryotic large subunit ribosomal RNA", at positions 71 to 939 of the family's 3401-position model. Lineage: Eukaryota; Fungi; Ascomycota; Sordariomycetes; Hypocreales; Clavicipitaceae. The record is from RNAcentral.
GGGAUUGCCCCAGUAACGGCGAGUGAAGCGGCAACAGCUCAAAUUUGAAAUCUGGCCCCCCCCCCCGGGGGGCCCGAGUUGUAAUUUGCAGAGGAUGCUUUGGGCGAGGCGCCUUCCGAGUUCCCUGGAACGGGACGCCACAGAGGGUGAGAGCCCCGUCUGGUCGGACGCCGAGCCUCUGUAAAGCUCCUUCGACGAGUCGAGUAGUUUGGGAAUGCUGCUCAAAAUGGGAGGUAUAUGUCUUCUAAAGCUAAAUACCGGCCAGAGACCGAUAGCGCACAAGUAGAGUGAUCGAAAGAUGAAAAGCACCUUGAAAAGGGGGUUAAACAGUACGUGAAAUUGUUGAAAGGGAAGCGCUCGUGACCAGACUUGGGGCGGGCGGAUCAGCCGGCGUUCUCGCCGGCGCACUCCGCCCGUCCCAGGCCAGCAUCAGUUCGCGCCGGGGGACAAAGGCGGCGGGAACGUGGCUCCCCAGGGAGUGUUAUAGCCCGCCGCGCCAUGCCCCGGGGGCGGACUGAGGGCCGCGCAUCACUGCAAGGAUGCUGGCGUAAUGGUCACCAGCGACCCGUCUUGAAACACGGGCCAAGGAGUCGUCCUCGUAUGCGAGUGUUCGGGUGUCAAACCCCUACGCGGAAUGAAAGUGAACGUGGGUGAGAGCUUCGGCGCAUCAUCGACCGAUCCUGAUGUUCUCGGAUGGAUUUGAGUAGGAGCAUACGGGGCCGGACCCGAAAGAAGGUGAACUAUGCCUGUGUAGGGUGAAGCCAGAGGAAACUCUGGUGGAGGCUCGCAGCGGUUCUGACGUGCAAAUCGAUCGUCAAACAUGGGCAUGGGGGCGAAAGACUAAUCGAA